CCUACGGGCGGCAGCAGUGGGGAAUAUUGGACAAUGGGGGGAACCCUGAUCCAGCCAUGCCGCGUGUGUGAAGAAGGCCCUCGGGUUGUAAAGCACUUUCAGUGAGGAAGAACGCCUGGUGGUUAAUACCCAUCAGGAAAGACAUCACUCACAGAAGAAGCACCGGAUAACUCCGUGCCAGCAGCCGCGGUAAUACGGAGGGUGCGAGCGUUAAUCGGAAUUACUGGGCGUAAAGCGCGCGUAGGUGGCUUGAUAAGCCGGUUGUGAAAGCCCCGGGCUCAACCUGGGAACGGCAUCCGGAACUGUCAAGCUAGAGUGCAGGAGAGGAAGGUAGAAUUCCCGGUGUAGCGGUGAAAUGCGUAGAGAUCGGGAGGAAUACCAGUGGCGAAGGCGGCCUUCUGGACUGACACUGACACUGAGGUGCGAAAGCGUGGGUAGCAAACAGGAUUAGAUACCCUUGUAGUC
This 465-nucleotide ribosomal RNA is filed under the name Vreelandella stevensii. RNAcentral describes it as "partial 16S ribosomal RNA". It matches the Rfam family "Bacterial small subunit ribosomal RNA", at positions 338 to 795 of the family's 1533-position model. The record is from RNAcentral. Lineage: Bacteria; Pseudomonadati; Pseudomonadota; Gammaproteobacteria; Oceanospirillales; Halomonadaceae.